GACGAACGCUGGCGGCGUGCUUAACACAUGCAAGUCGAACGGAAAGGCCUGCUUUCCCUUGUGGAUUGCGGGUACUCGAGUGGCGAACGGGUGAGUAACACGUGAGUGAUCUGCCCCCAACUUGGGUAUAAGCCUGGGAAACUGGGUCUAAUUCCCGAUAGGACUGCAGGGUGGUGCCUGUGGUGGAAAACGAUUUUCUAGUGGUUGGGGAUGAGCUCGCGGCCUAUCAGCUUGUUGGUGGGGUAAUGGCCUACCAAGGCGGCGACGGGUAGCGGCCUGAGAGGGUGGACGACCACAUUGGGACUGAGAUACGGCCCAGACUCCUACGGGAGGCAGCAGUGGGGAAUAUUGCACAAUGGGCGGAAGCCUGAUGCAGCGACGCCGCGUGGGGGAUGACGGCCUUCGGGUUGUAAACUCCUUUCGACCGCGAGGAAGCCACCUGGUUGGAAGGGUGGUGACGGUAGUGGUAGAAGAAGCACCGGCUAACUACGUG
RNAcentral lists this ribosomal RNA (493 nucleotides) under uncultured bacterium. RNAcentral's name for it is "partial 16S ribosomal RNA". It matches the Rfam family "Bacterial small subunit ribosomal RNA", at positions 28 to 507 of the family's 1533-position model. The record is from RNAcentral.